UUGAAACCGGCCCGUCGCGCAAACGGCGCCGUGUGGGUCCAUUCUCGCAGCCGACGCAGAAAAAUAAAAGGAAAGAAAUAUAUCCUUUCGAGCGCCGCACAAGGCGAGAAGCUCAGAGCUAUGGCGAUGACGGAGGCGGGAGGCGACGGAUUCGAGUUCCUAUCAGAUCCAAUUAACAGAUUUCCCCGGUUGGAUCUCGCCGCGGGCGAAUCCUUGCUGCGCAACGAAGGAAAUCAAUCUCUGGUAUGCACGGUCGCUCAAUCCAGCCAUAAUGGUGUGGGCGGUGCAGCGGUGACAGUACAAGUGAAAUUUGACAGCGGUUCCAAUGGGUGGCCCUGUCGAAUUCAGAGCAUUCGACAUGCAAAGAUGAUACACAAGCACCUAGCUGGACCAACAGGUUUCGCCUGCCGGACCGCACCGCCAGUAAAUCCUUGCUGGACGGCGAAGCAAAUCAAACUUUGGCAUGCACGGGCGCUGAAUCCAGCAUUUGUGAUGUGGGCGAUGCAGCGCCGACAGCACAAGUAGAUGUCAACAGUACUUGAGAUGGGACGGCCCUAUCACUACUGAACUCAGAACAUUCGACAGGCAAAGACGAUCCUCAAGCACCUGGCUGGACCAAGAGCAGGACAGUACAAAGUUGAGGAAGUCAGUAAAGGGAAAACCUAUUUCAUGCAACGGUACCAUCCAGAGAAAUAUGAAAAGUGAUGCAGGGUUGUAAGUGGAAGUUGUUGAUGAUGGAACGGAGCUGAUAUGUGAAUGUGCUAAUUUUGAGCACACGGACUUGCUCUGUUGUCACGCUGUUAAGGUCCUUGAUUUCCUCGGCAUAGACCAUAUAUCAGCAAAGCAUAUUCUGAAACGGUGGACAAAGGAGGCAAGAGAUCUACUGCCAGCCCACCUGUCACGUCUUCGUAAGGAUAUAAUUUCUGUGAAUUCAAUAACAUAAGGGCACUCAAAUCUGUACACACAUGCACUUGAAGUAGUCAGGCUAGGAGAUGCAAAUACAGAAGCGUAUCCGCGUAUGAGUGUGCAAUGGACAUCUUGAAGACAACAAUGGAUAAACUGACACCAAUAGCCGUUGUGCGAGAUGGAUUGGAAGAAAGAAUUCAGGAACAUAAGAACAAAGAUAAAGAAUCCCUUGCAGCAAUUGCACCCUCCAGCAGCAGUGGGAGUGACGCUGAAGGAAGUGCAGUGGGAAAUUUUGUAGGAUUAAAGCCUCCAGAACAAAAACGAAAGGCCGGUCGACCAACCACCAGCAGGGACAAACCUCCAUAUGAUGAUCGGGGUGCAAAAAGCAAGAAGUACAAGCGACCACCAAUUGCACAAGAUGUAGAGAGAUGUGGUACAAGUAAAUGCGUUUCUGUAGUAUAUGCAAGGGAGCCAGGGCACAAGAGCAAUACACGUCCACAGCGAGGGGAUCUUCCUCGAAAGGAAAGGAAAGAGGCGAAAUGCUCAAACUAUAGCGUCGGUGGGCACAGGAGAAACACCUGCAGCUGCAGCAAGCCAAAAGUUGUUCUGCAUGUGGUUGAAACAAUAGCUUUGGAGACGAAUUUUCCUUAGUUUUGGUUUUUAGGAACUCUGUUGUUGAGGGCUCCGCAGCCAAUAGUUAGGAAUCUGUGUAAUAAAAAAAUUGUUGAUGCUUCUCUGCUAUGUGUUGUACUACUUGUUAACUUGACAACGUGUUGUAUCCUUAUCAAUGAGACUAUUGUGAUUUAAGUGAGAUCA
Non-coding RNA from Triticum urartu, 1722 nucleotides. The record is from RefSeq and is a predicted model, not a curated record. NCBI's taxonomy places the organism in Eukaryota, Viridiplantae, Streptophyta, Magnoliopsida, Poales, Poaceae.